UUGUUGGUAAGGUAAAAGCUUACCAAGGCUUCGAUCAGUAGCUGGUCUGAGAGGACGACCAGCCACACUGGGACUGAGACACGGCCCAGACUCCUACGGGAGGCAGCAGUGGGGAAUUUUGGACAAUGGGGGCAACCCUGAUCCAGCCAUGCCGCGUGAGUGAAGAAGGCCUUCGGGUUGUAAAGCUCUUUCAGCCGGAACGAAACGGUUACGGAUAACACCCGUGACUACUGACGGUACCGGAAGAAGAAGCACCGGCUAACUACGUGCCAGCAGCCGCGGUAAUACGUAGGGUGCGAGCGUUAAUCGGAAUUACUGGGCGUAAAGCGUGCGCAGGUGGUUUUGUAAGUCAGAUGUGAAAGCCCCGGGCUCAACCUGGGAACUGCGUUUGAAACUACAAGACUAGAGUGUGGCAGAGGGGGGUGGAAUUCCGCGUGUAGCAGUGAAAUGCGUAGAGAUGUGGAGGAACACCGAUGGCGAAGGCAGCCCCCUGGGUCAACACUGACGCUCAGGCACGAAAGCAUGGGGAGCAAACAGGAUUAGAUACCCUGGUAGUCCAUGCCCUAAACGAUGUCAACUACUUGUCGGGCCUUUACGGGCUUGGUAACGUAGCUAACGCGUGAAGUUGACCGCCUGGGGAGUACGAUCGCAAGAUUAAAACUCAAAUGAAUUGACGGGGACCCGCACAAGCGGUGGAUUAUGUGGAUUAAUUCGAUGCAACGCGAAAAACCUUACCUACCCUUGACAUGUAUCGAAGCCCGCAGAAAAGCGGGGGUGCCCGAAAGGGAACGAUAACACAGGUGCUGCAUGGCUGUCGUCAGCUCGUGUCGUGAGAUGUUGGGUUAAGUCCCGCAACGAGCGCAACCCUUGUCAUUAAUUGCCAUCAUUUAGUUGGGCACUUUAAUGAGACUGCCGG
Molecule: ribosomal RNA, 916 nt
Filed under: uncultured bacterium
Lineage: Bacteria
Description: bacterial SSU rRNA
Rfam family: Bacterial small subunit ribosomal RNA
Source: RNAcentral